This 492-nucleotide ribosomal RNA is filed under the name uncultured bacterium. RNAcentral describes it as "partial 16S ribosomal RNA". It matches the Rfam family "Bacterial small subunit ribosomal RNA", at positions 29 to 507 of the family's 1533-position model. The record is from RNAcentral.
AGUGAACGCUGGCGGUAGGCCUAACACAUGCAAGUCGAACGGCAGCACAGUAAGAGCUUGCUCUUACGGGUGGCGAGUGGCGGACGGGUGAGGAAUACAUCGGAACCUACUUUUUCGUGGGGGAUAACGUAGGGAAACUUACGCUAAUACCGCAUACGACCUACGGGUGAAAGCAGGGGAUCUUCGGACCUUGCGCGAUUGAAUGAGCCGAUGUCGGAUUAGCUAGUUGGCGGGGUAAAGGCCCACCAAGGCGACGAUCCGUAGCUGGUCUGAGAGGAUGAUCAGCCACACUGGAACUGAGACACGGUCCAGACUCCUACGGGAGGCAGCAGUGGGGAAUAUUGGACAAUGGGCGCAAGCCUGAUCCAGCCAUACCGCGUGGUGGAAGAAGGCCUUCGGGUUGUAAAGCCCUUUUGUUGGGAAAGAAAAGCAGCAGGUUAAUACCCCGCUGUUCUGACGGUACCCAAAGAAUAAGCACCGGCUAACUUCGUU